This is a non-coding RNA of Podarcis lilfordi (Lilford's wall lizard), 3296 nucleotides long. The record is from the annotation of a GenBank genome assembly. NCBI's taxonomy places the organism in Eukaryota, Metazoa, Chordata, Lepidosauria, Squamata, Lacertidae.
GAUUCUACUUGAGCAGCAAGGCAUAAGGGAGCUCUAGUGCUGGAGCAACGGGAGGCACUGGGGGGGGGAGGUAGGUUUCUAAAUCUUACUGCGUGAACAAAGCAAUAGAGGGCUAACUCAGGGCGGGGUUUACAGUCACUGAGUAAACCUGGGAAAGAGACAAGUACUACUAAGCUGACUUUGAGAGUACAGGAACAGAGAUUACUAUGAGUAAAGACAUAGCAAUGCCAUUCAUAGUGUCAUGUAUAUUCUUGCAUUGGGCGUUUGGUAUUUAGGUUUUAAGCUGGAAUGGAUUUUUAAGGUUUUGUACGAAUGUAAGAUCAAAAUGACAAACACAACAAAACACGAUCAAGUUUAUGAAACAUAACAGAAGCAGUAGAAAGGUUGCAUUUUUCAGAUAGAGAGCAGAUAAUGUAGACAAAUAAAAGCAGCAAGAGAAAUUCAAGAUUCAUUGUGGAUUUUUAUUUUUUUUAAUUGUCUUAUGGCCAUGGUUUUAAGCUGAUUUCAUUUGAUGUGAGUUAUAUCAGCCAUAAACGAACAACAAACAAAAACAAUGAAUUCUCUAUUAAACUCAGUUCUGUUUUAUUAUGAUACCAAAUGAAAAGAUUCUUAACACGAUAAACUUCAAUGCACAUGAUUCUACAUGAGAGGAGCAGGUAAAAGAUGACACCGACCUCCAGUUUCAGAAGUAGCCACCCAGUGACCUUCAAUAGACAAAUGGGGAUUUGAACUCCGGCCUAACGCUGUUCCGACACCCAGCUCUCUUGUUUUCUGCUUCAACACAUGGGUGGCAGGGGGAGUCUCCCUGACACCCUUUUCUCUUCCUCCCCACCCAACAGCUUGCCAGCUUGCCAGCUCUGGUCUAUGGCCAUGGUUUUAAGCUGAUUUCAUUUGAUGUGAGUUAUAUCAGCCAUAAACGAACAACAAAUAAAAACAAUGAAUUCACUAUUCAACUCAGUUCUGUUUUAUUAUGAUACCAAAGGAAAAGAUUCUUAACAAUGGACAUGAUUCUACAUGAGAGGAGCAGGUAAAAGAUGACACCGACCUCGUUUCAGAGGUAGCCACCCAGUGACCCAGGCCUGAGUUCUAACGCCGUUCCGACACCCAGCUCUCUUGUUUUCUGCUUCAGCGUGUGGGUGGCUGGGGGAGUCUCCCUGACACCCUUUUCUCUUCCUCCCCACCCAACAGCUUGCCAGCUUGCCAGCUCUGGUCUAAAAGGAUUGUUUGCAGAGAGCUUUUGGAACAAGCUCCAAGGAGACAGACCAGUCACUGCUGCAAGGAAGUGGUGGCUUCAGAAGGCUCCUGGCCCUUUGAAAGCAUCUAGUUCCCACUCUCCUUGAAAUCAAUGGAACCCUGGAAUCAUAACCUGCUGUCUUCACAACUGAUAGAGCUGGAGUCCAUUAAUGCAUUCAGACUGACAUUCCUCUCAGGAGCUCUUGCAGCCCAAGAUGCAAAUGUGCUUCGUGCGCAACUCCAGCUGGGUAUCCCGAGAGGAAACGCCCAUCGUCUCCAGAAACCUAGGGGAAGGAAAGCAAGAGAGCAGAAACCAGGGUUCAGUUCCGGGAUUCAUUGAAAUGAAAACAAUUACUGGACGAAACACCUCGAAAUGUCCAGAGCUAGCACCGCUCCAUCUUUUCACAGUUCAAACAAGUUGUCUUUUGACGGCAGCCAGGCGCAUAAUGGCGAGAUACUUGAAGAAUUUGGGAGGCUGCCUCUUUGACAAACUGGUACAAUAAAAUGCGGCAAACAGAAGGUGUGGGGAAAUGGGACUGAGGACAUAAAGCUGGCAUAAGGUUUGAAGCAUGGCUUAUGCACAGAUUAAAUGAAUAGUUGGAAUCUGGCAACACUUCUGACUUCGCCACUCACGUGCGUUAGCGGAGAUUCCUGCAUUGCAGGGGGUUGGACUAGAUGGCCCUUAGGGGUCCCUUCCCUUUUAAAAUAAUUUUUAAUUUGAUUUUUAAAAAGUAUAAACACGUAACAAAAAAACCCAAAUAUUGAGAUUACUCUGAAUCUCCUGACUCCCCCCACUCAUCCCUUCUAUGGGUCCUACUGAUAUAUACAACUGCAUAUCAAUACUACCGUAAUCCAAAUUUUUAUCCUUCUAAAUUAUCCACACUUAACUGUUUCUUUACAAUUGUGAUUAAAAUCCUGCUAAUGUUUUAACUUGCUUACAGUAGUCUCGUAGAUAAAUUAUAAACUUUCCCCAUUUUUUCUUAAAGUUCUUGUCUUCUUGAUUUCUGAGCUUCCCAGUUAAUUUUGUCACCAACUUGGUUUGCCAUUCUUUUCUGGUCAUGGUUAUCUCUUCCUUCCAUCCCUGGGCUAAUUGGGGGAGGGGGGUCCCUUCCAACUCUACAAUUUUGUUAUUUUACAUGGGAAUUUUUUGAAUUAAAAAUUACAAUGUGCAUAUUGGAGCUGAAUUUUAAUUGCAGGAAAACAUAUGGAAAUCCAAGCCCUUCUGCUUUGCUAGCAUCUCGUACUGAGAACAGUUACUGGUAAAUUCUACUGCAUGCCAUCUAUGAAAAGACAUGCAAUAUCACAGGCUAAAGACUUCAAUGCGACUCUCCUAAUAAUAAUAAUAAUUUUUAUUUAUACCCCGCUCUCCCCAGCCAAGGCCGGGAUCAGGGCGGCUUACAUGCAAUAAUAAAAACAAGUUGAAUGAUUACAACUUAAAAACAAAAUUAAAAUACAACAUUAAAAUAUUGAAACAUUAAAAUAUUAAAAUGUAUCCUCAUCGCAGGAGUAGAAGGAAAAGAAAAAAGAGAGGGAGGGAGGGAAUCAAAUUGGCUCCAAGCCAAAGGCCAGGUGGAAUAACUCUGUCAUACAGGCCCUGACUUAACCAUGGUUCCUUGGCCCUUCCACAUCUGGCUUACUCCAGCAAACAGAUUUUGUCACCUUCGCUCUGUGUUUUGGAGAAGUGAUUUCGCCUCCUCAGGCUGGGCUUCCAGAUAAAGUUGGUACUGCGAGAGUGACUGGAUAUAUCCUAUUACGUCAGCAACGCUCAGGGGAAUUUUAUCGAAAAUAUCCGUCAUCCUGGAAAGAAGCAGAAAGCUUUAGGAGAAGUUUGGGGCUGAGUUGAGAGUACGGAAAUCUUUUGACUACGGAAGUGGUGUCAAUCAUAUGUAUGUUUGCUCAGGAGAGUGUGGCUGUUCAACUUAGUGACUUUGACCGUAUUGUUCUGGACUUCCCAAUUUGUAUUUGUUUAGUUACAAAAAUAUUUGAUGCUGCUGUGUCAUAAAAAUAUAUCAAAGCCGUUUACAGCAACAAAAUCAUACAACUUACAAAUUCAGUAAGUUGGU